UAUCCCUGCUGACAAGGUGUUUUGGCGUCAGAGAACGCAACUUCUUUCUAUAUAACCCUUGUGUGAUGUGUUUUAUUUUGCUUCUCUCUCGUCUGCUGCAGUCUGGGAGUGAGCCCAGGCUCUCUCUCUCUCUCUCUCUCUCUCUCUCUCUCUCUCUCUCUCUCUCUCUCUCUCUCUCUGAGAGUGGGCCCGUGCCUCUCUCUGGCCUGCCAGGACGUGGGUGAGCCCGACAAGCUUGUUGUUGUUGUUGAAUAAAUAUACUUGUAUGCAACUCCGGAGUCCUUUUUUUUUUCAUUUCAGUUGUCUGCCACCCUUUCUGUUAAAAUGCUGUGGGUUUGCCAGGCUUGUGUAAGUAAUCUACACAGUCUGUGUUUUAAAUGCUGUGGGUGCUUGUGUGAGUAAUCUACACAGGCUGUGUUUUAAAGGAUGUGGGUGCUUGUGUUAGUAAUCUACACAGUCUGCACGCGUGCGUGUUUGUAACCGCCGCCGCCACGCCCCUUCCCCCUGCACACAUAUUCUGCCUAUAACACUUACAUAUGUGAAAUUAUCAGGGUGGAUAACUAACCGCCACCACCACACCCCUUCCCCCGCACACAUAUUCCGCCUGUAGCACUUGUCAGUGUAAUUUUUUCGCUGAAUAUGGGUCUACAUCAGUAUAUUUCAGGCAAUGCGACUUGGCUAUUCAGACUAUUUAGAUUGACAUAUUUUUCUUAUUUUAGACAUUUUUCACGAUAUUCAACAGUAAUCUGGAAAUGUGUUGAAAUAUCAAAGCGAAUUUAUAAAAAAAAAAAAAAGGCAAUGGUGAACUGAUCAACAUAGGCUCAUGUCGCGGACCCCCUACAAUGCCGUCGCGGACCACCAGGGGGCCGCGAACCCCCGGUUGAAAACCCAUGUUUUAAAUGCUGUGGGUGCUUGUGUUAGUAAUCUAGAUUCUACACAGUCUGUGUUUUAAAUGAGGUGGGUGCUUGUGUGAGUAAUCUACACAGUCUGUGUUUUAAAUGAGGUGGGUGCUUGUGUGAGUAAUCUACACAGUCUGUGUUUUAAAUGAGGUGGGUGCUUGUGUUAGUAAUCUACACAGUCUGUGUUUUAAAUGAGGUGGGUGCUUGUGUUAGUAAUCUACGGUCUGCUUUUCCAGCCUUCUGCCUGCCUGGGUGUUCUUGUUUUUGACAUCUGCCACACACCACAGCGACCAACGGCUACUACGCAUACGUUUCACAUUUACAGAUUAUGAACACACACCGGAGUUCUUUUGAAGCGUACACACUGAACAGACAGACAAAGGACAAUGAGGAGAAAUUCGCUGAAUUUGAUUUUUUUUUUUUUUUUAAUUAGAAUUGGGGACUCUAGUCUUCAAGAACAGAAUACGUGGGCAAAAGACAACUGCAACCAAAACACCAACAGCAGCUGUGGAUUGCAUGCGUUCCCUAUGCUGACAAACUUCCGUUUUAUCUAAAUGAAUGGUUACAAAAAAUAUAUUUUUUAUCAAUGGCCUAGGCUUGAGAUAAUGGUGUCAGGAUCACGGUAUGAAAUGUUCUCCAUCAGAACUCCUCACAGGGUAUCAUCCUUUGGACAGGAAUGUAUCCUAAUCAAGACCCAUGAACACAGAAGUAAAAUCAUAUUGUUACUUUUGGAGAAGUCUG
Molecule: long non-coding RNA, 1640 nt
Organism: Clupea harengus (Atlantic herring)
Lineage: Eukaryota; Metazoa; Chordata; Actinopteri; Clupeiformes; Clupeidae
Source: Ensembl